UACGGAGGUGGCAAGCGUUACUCGGAAUUAUUGGGUGUAAAGGGCAUGUAGGUGGGUUUGCAAGUCGGAUGUGAAAUACCUUUGCUCAACGAAGGAAUUGCAUCCGAAACUGCUUAUCUUGAGUAUCGGAGAGGAAAGGGGAAUUCCCGGUGUAAGGGUGAAAUCUGUAGAUAUCGGGAGGAACACCAGUGGCGAAGGCGCCUUUCUGGCUGAAUACUGACACUGAAAUGCGAAAGCUACGGGAGCAAACAGG
RNAcentral lists this ribosomal RNA (253 nucleotides) under uncultured bacterium. RNAcentral's name for it is "partial 16S ribosomal RNA". It matches the Rfam family "Bacterial small subunit ribosomal RNA", at positions 524 to 776 of the family's 1533-position model. The record is from RNAcentral.